RNAcentral lists this long non-coding RNA (199 nucleotides) under Elaeis guineensis (African oil palm). RNAcentral's name for it is "long non-coding RNA (EGUI_LNC012491)". Lineage: Eukaryota; Viridiplantae; Streptophyta; Magnoliopsida; Arecales; Arecaceae. The record is from RNAcentral.
ACUGACACAUACUUUUUUUAAGGGAUACUUUAUACUUGACGGACAGUCUUUAUAACAAAUCAUGUCAUAUGUGUCCAUGAUUUAUCUUAAAAAUUAAUAAAGAUGAUUUUAUAUAUUCUCAAGUUAUUGAGAAUUUGAGAUAUACAUCAUUAGUGGUUAAUUUCUAAAUACUUCUGAUCGAAGGAUCAUCACGGAAGAC